This 392-nucleotide ribosomal RNA is filed under the name uncultured bacterium. RNAcentral's name for it is "bacterial SSU rRNA". It matches the Rfam family "Bacterial small subunit ribosomal RNA", at positions 524 to 912 of the family's 1533-position model. The record is from RNAcentral.
AACCUCCGGGGAAAAUUUAAUUUGGGGUGUAAAAGGGGNCAAAGGGUNAGGGGCGGGUUCUAGCAAGUAAGAGGUGAAAUCCCACGGCUCAAUCGUGGAACUGCCUUUUAAACUACUAGGCUUGAGGUUGUCAGAGGGAAAUGGAAUUCUCGGUGUAAGGGUGAAAUCUGUAGAUAUCGAGAAGAACACCAGCGGCGAAGGCGAUUUCCUGGGACAAACCUGACGCUGAAUUGCGAAAGCUAGGGGAGCAAACAGAAUUAGAUACUCUGGUAGUCCUAGCCGUAAACGAUGAGCACUAGGUGUUGGUACCUUCUGGUAUCAGUGCCGCAGCUAACGCAUUAAGUGCUCCACCUGGGGACUACGGUCGUCAAGGCUAAAACUCAAAGGAAUUG